RNAcentral lists this microRNA precursor (143 nucleotides) under Tupaia belangeri (northern tree shrew). Its description in RNAcentral is "miRNA (ENSTBEG00000020031.1)". The record is from RNAcentral. Lineage: Eukaryota; Metazoa; Chordata; Mammalia; Scandentia; Tupaiidae.
CAGACCAUCCAGGUAUAUUUUAGUUUUUAAAACGCAAUGAAUAAUUUUUAGUAUAAGUAUAGUCUAUGCAAUAUUUGGGACAUACUUAUACUGAAAAUUUAUUCAUUGUUUGUCUGAAAUCCAAAUUUAACUGAGCAUCCUGU